GGGGUCUUAGCUCAGCUGGGAGAGCAUCUGCCUUACAAGCAGAGGGUCACAGGUUCGAGCCCUGUGGGCCCCA
Molecule: transfer RNA, 73 nt
Filed under: Mediterraneibacter gnavus
Lineage: Bacteria; Bacillati; Bacillota; Clostridia; Lachnospirales; Lachnospiraceae
Description: [Ruminococcus] gnavus tRNA-Val
Rfam family: tRNA
About the family: Transfer RNA (tRNA) molecules are approximately 80 nucleotides in length. Their secondary structure includes four short double-helical elements and three loops (D, anti-codon, and T loops).
Source: RNAcentral